This 492-nucleotide ribosomal RNA is filed under the name uncultured bacterium. RNAcentral describes it as "partial 16S ribosomal RNA". It matches the Rfam family "Bacterial small subunit ribosomal RNA", at positions 29 to 507 of the family's 1533-position model. The record is from RNAcentral.
AGUGAACGCUGGCGGUAGGCCUAACACAUGCAAGUCGAACGGCAGCACAAUAAGAGCUUGCUCUUACGGGUGGCGAGUGGCGGACGGGUGAGGAAUACAUCGGAAUCUACUUUUUCGUGGGGGAUAACGUAGGGAAACUUACGCUAAUACCGCAUACGACCUACGGGUGAAAGCAGGGGAUCUUCGGACCUUGCGCGAUUGAAUGAGCCGAUGUCGGAUUAGCUAGUUGGCGGGGUAAAGGCCCACCAAGGCGACGAUCCGUAGCUGGUCUGAGAGGAUGAUCAGCCACACUGGAACUGCGACACGGUCAAGACUCCUACGGGAGGCAGCAGUGGGGAAUAUUGGACAAUGGGCGCAAGCCUGAUCCAGCCAUACCGCGUGGGUGAAGAAGGCCUUCGGGUUGUAAAGCCCUUUUGUUGGGAAAGAAAAGCAGCAGGUUAAUACCCCGCUGUUCUGACGGUACCCAAAGAAUAAGCACCGGCUAACUUCGUG